UUAUAACUGGCAUCUCUUACCUGGGUACAGAACACAGAGCAAGAGUAACUUCUCAGUUGAAGCCUGUCACAGUUAAAUAGAAAUGUCCUUGCAUAAAUGGAAGUCACUGUUUCAUGAGCCCUCUGGAAAUAUAAUUGGUAGCGUCCUCUCAGGGGAUGCAGCUCUUUGGUGGUGUCACAUGUUCCUCUUCCUAGAACAACAUCAAUGGAGCCACGUCACAUAGACUUAUGCUGGUGGGAAGGCCCGAUGUGAUGUGGCCAGUAGAGGCAUGCAAAGGGCUUUGAGCUCCUGCACGCUCCCUCCUCCAUAGGACCUGGGACAGACUCCUUUUCCCCCAGAUCCUCCCCUGGCCUCAGUUCUGGAAUGGGUCUCUAUGCUUCAAGAUAUUUAAUGCCACCGACGCAGGCCUUGGCCUUGCCAUCCUCUUGCCUUAGUCUCUCAGCUGGCACUACAGGUAUGCAAUGCUGGCCAUGGGUGUAAUGACAUUCAGGCCCACUGCUCCGUCUGCAGGAGUGUAGUAAGGCACAGACCGUCCACUGGUAACUUACAGGGCUGGCACAUCAAGCUGUGAUUUAGAGUUUGAACAAGUUUUGGAAAAUAAAAACAAAACCAGCUCCAAGGUCACAUUUUUCUACGGAGGGAGGAAGUCUGGGUAUGCAUACAUGCCACACUAUCCAGAUGGGCCUUAGGAACUCUUGUGGUGUUGUGAAGAGGCAGUUUGCCCACCAGCAGACCACUGCUCUAAUACAUCAAGAAAUCCUCAGACCGUGCAACUCCACAGGAUGAUUCGUCAAGGCUGUGUUCUGGAGCUGGGACCUGGGGCGGAAACUACGGGAGCCAGCCAGAGCCGCACUGUACUGAUAGACGCAUGGAAGGACUAGUCUGCCUGACAGUAUUGAACUCCCUUUUGCUAGUGACAAAAUAAAUGUAUAUUUUUGAGAUGCC
RNAcentral lists this long non-coding RNA (945 nucleotides) under Mus musculus (house mouse). RNAcentral describes it as "long non-coding RNA chr5:124723509-124724454". Lineage: Eukaryota; Metazoa; Chordata; Mammalia; Rodentia; Muridae. The record is from RNAcentral.